This 207-nucleotide long non-coding RNA is filed under the name Lathyrus oleraceus (garden pea). RNAcentral's name for it is "Pisum sativum (pea) long non-coding RNA (PSAT_LNC038250)". The record is from RNAcentral. Lineage: Eukaryota; Viridiplantae; Streptophyta; Magnoliopsida; Fabales; Fabaceae.
GUUCUGUCGGGUGCUUGGUGAUCUCUAUGUGGUGAGAUAAAUCCUAUACCCGGACUUGAGAGCUCUUAUGAUAGGAGGGUGGUAUAGUCAUGUUUGACUUAUGUGGAGUUGAUCCUUAAUAAGUUGACUUGAGAUCCCCCACUCAGUGGAGGCCCAUUUGGGAUUACUGAUGUCACAGAAAUAGUCAUAGUUGGCAUUACUUUUUCC